AAAAGACAAAGAACUCACCAAUAUAUUUGAGCUAAUUGCUUGUUCCCUUUUUGUCUUUAGCAACUGGAAUUUCUCUUGUUCAGAGUAGCCAAAGAAUGACAUCAGCGAGGAUGAAACAGACCUGGAGGUUAGAGAGGUACCUGGUCUCAGAAGCUUUGCUAUAAAGAGUUCUUGCCUUCAGCUUUGGCAACCAGUGAAAGGGGAAGUCUACCUUACAUAAACCAAACCGUGCUGCAAUGAUUAUUUUUCACAGUCCAGCUGUAUGACUGCAGAGAUAAGUGAAUGUG
Molecule: long non-coding RNA, 287 nt
Filed under: Cyanistes caeruleus (blue tit)
Lineage: Eukaryota; Metazoa; Chordata; Aves; Passeriformes; Paridae
Description: lncRNA (ENSCCEG00000021607.1)
Source: RNAcentral